UGAACUGAGGAGCACAGUCCCCUGGACUGACC
Molecule: non-coding RNA, 32 nt
Filed under: Mus musculus (house mouse)
Lineage: Eukaryota; Metazoa; Chordata; Mammalia; Rodentia; Muridae
Source: RNAcentral